UACGUAGGGUGCGAGCGUUGUCCGGAAUUAUUGGGCGUAAAGGGCUCGUAGGCGGUUUGUCGCGUCGGGAGUGAAAACACACAGCUUAACUGUGUGCUUGCUUCCGAUACGGGCAGACUAGAGGUAUGCAGGGGAGAACGGAAUUCCUGGUGUAGCGGUGAAAUGCGCAGAUAUCAGGAGGAACACCGGUGGCGAAGGCGGAUCUCUGGGCCUUACCUGACGCUCAGGUGCGAAAGCUAGGGGAGCGAACAGG
This 253-nucleotide ribosomal RNA is filed under the name uncultured bacterium. RNAcentral's name for it is "partial 16S ribosomal RNA". It matches the Rfam family "Bacterial small subunit ribosomal RNA", at positions 524 to 776 of the family's 1533-position model. The record is from RNAcentral.